Molecule: ribosomal RNA, 406 nt
Filed under: uncultured bacterium
Lineage: Bacteria
Description: partial 16S ribosomal RNA
Rfam family: Bacterial small subunit ribosomal RNA
Source: RNAcentral
AUUGAACGCUGGCGGCAGGCCUAACACAUGCAAGUCGAACGAGUGGCGGACGGGUGAGUAAUGUCUGGGAAACUGCCCGAUGGAGGGGGAUAACUACUGGAAACGGUAGCUAAUACCGCAUACCAUCGGAUGUGCCCAGAUGGGAUUAGCGAGUAGGUGGGGUAACGGCUCACCUAGGCGACGAUCCCUAGCUGGUCUGAGAGGAUUACCAGCCACCCUGGAAAUGAGACACGGUCCAGACUCCCUCGGGAGGCAGCAGUUGGGAAUAUUGCCCAAUUGGCGCAAGCCUGAUUCAGCCAUUCCGCGUGUAUGAAGAAGGCCUUCGGGUUGUAAAGUACUUUCAGCGAGGAGGCGUUACUCGCAGAAGAAGCACCGGCUAACUCCGUGCCAGCAGCCGCAGUAAUUC